RNAcentral lists this ribosomal RNA (776 nucleotides) under uncultured archaeon. RNAcentral's name for it is "bacterial SSU rRNA". It matches the Rfam family "Archaeal small subunit ribosomal RNA", at positions 51 to 831 of the family's 1478-position model. The record is from RNAcentral.
AUGCGAGUCAGAGUUCUUCGUGAACUCGGCGGACUGCUCAGUAACACGUGGGUAAUCUACCCUAAGGUCAGGGAUAAUCCCGGGAAACUGGGAAUAAUACCUGAUAGGUGAAGAUAUCUGGAACGAUACUUCGCCCAAAGCCCCGGCGCCUUAGGAUGAGCCUGCGCCCGAUUAGGUUGUUGGUGGUGUAAAGGACCACCUAGCCCGUUAUCGGUACGGGUGUUGAGAGACAUAGCCCGGAGAUGGGGGCUGAGACACGGCCCCAGGCCCUACGGGGCGCAGCAGGCGCGAAAACUACGCAAUGCGCGAAAGCGUGACGUGGGAACUCCAAGUGCCUUGCCUUAGGGUAAGGCUUUUGUUUAGUGUAAGCAGCUAAACGAAUAAGUGCUGGGUAAGACCGGUGCCAGCCGCCGCGGUAACACCGGCAGCGCAAGUGGUGACCGCUUUUAUUGGGCCUAAAGCGUUCGUAGCCGGUUUGGUAAGUCUUUGGGUAAAUCCUCUGGCUCAACCAGAGGAAUUCCGGAGAUACUGCCAGACUUGGGGUUGAGAGAGGUCAGAGGUACCUCUGGGGUAGGGGUGAAAUCCUAUAAUCCUAGAGGGACCACCAGUGGCGAAGGCGUCUGACUAGAGCAAGCUCGACGGUGAGGGACGAAAGCCAGGGGCGCGAACGGGAUUAGAUACCCCGGUAGUCCUGGCCGUAAACGCUGCGCGCUAGGUGUUGCAUGCUCUACGAGGGCGUGCAGUGCCGAAGAGAAGUUGAUAAGCGUGCCGCCUGG